RNAcentral lists this unclassified non-coding RNA (475 nucleotides) under Hevea brasiliensis (rubber tree). Lineage: Eukaryota; Viridiplantae; Streptophyta; Magnoliopsida; Malpighiales; Euphorbiaceae. The record is from RNAcentral.
ACUUGAAUCUCUCGAAUUUGGAGAGUGAAUGAGGAAAGGUUGGGAGGAAAAAGGUGAACUGUUAAAAGGAAAUUACUUAUGUACCUUCUUAUGUUUUAAAUUCACCCACCCUAAAAAUUGUGCUUUUCUUGGGCAACAUAGUAAAUUCACAAGAAGUGUGGUUUUUUGCUUCCUAUAUUCGUAGCUUUCCAAAUAAGAGAAAAUAAAAUUUAUCUGUAUUUUUCCACUUUUAUUUUCCUCCCAUCCAAACAAGGGAGAGAAAAUAAAUGAAGAAUUUUCUCUUUAUUUACCCUCCCCUCCUCAAUCCAUUUCAUUUCAUAGUUACCAAAUUCAUUCACCUCUUAUGGGUACUGCGAUCUGGGUGACGCGGAACUUUUGUAUCCCAAAUGGCUAAGGGACGCGAUCUGAGACGUUAAACUUGGGGUUUUGGCAAGAAAAUAAAGGGAGAAAGAAAAAAGGAGAAGAAGAAAGAGAA